This 485-nucleotide ribosomal RNA is filed under the name uncultured beta proteobacterium. RNAcentral describes it as "bacterial SSU rRNA". It matches the Rfam family "Bacterial small subunit ribosomal RNA", at positions 8 to 490 of the family's 1533-position model. Lineage: Bacteria; Pseudomonadati; Pseudomonadota; Betaproteobacteria. The record is from RNAcentral.
AGAGUUUGAUCCUGGCUCAGAUUGAACGCUGGCGGCAUGCCUUACACAUGCAAGUCGAACGCGAAAGGGGGGCAACCCCCGAGUAGAGUGGCGAACGGGUGAGUAAUACAUCGGAACGUGUCCAGUAGCGGGGGAUAACCUCUCGAAAGAGAGGCUAAUACCGCAUACGACCUACGGGUGAAAGAGGGGGAUCGCAAGACCUCUCACUAUUGGAGCGGCCGAUGUCGGAUUAGCUAGUUGGCGGGGUAAAAGCCCACCAAGGCUACGAUCCGUAGCUGGUCUGAGAGGACGACCAGCCACACUGGAACUGAGACACGGUCCAGACUCCUACGGGAGGCAGCAGUGGGGAAUUUUGGACAAUGGGCGCAAGCCUGAUCCAGCCAUGCCGCGUGAGUGAAGAAGGCCUUCGGGUUGUAAAGCUCUUUCGGCGGGGACGAAAAGGUCUGUGUUAACACCACGGAUCCAUGACGUACCCGCAGAAGAGC